GUUAGAUUAACGAGAGUCUUAUCUUUAAAUGGCUGUAAAAUAGUCAUAUGUUUGAGAAAUUGAAGUAAUAGGAUUUUGAAGAUUUUGAAAAUCGCGCCACAGGCUGGCAGUGGAUGUUACGUAGGUGGGACGAAUUCGUCCCGCCGGUCCCAUAGAGGUUAACUAGCUUUUAGCCCUCUAAACUGGGUCGUUUUUGUAUCAAAUUCAAUUUAGCUUUGUUUGUCAAAUUUGUCUGGGGGUGCAUAAAAAUUGCAGAAAAGCUCCAUUGUCUAUUGAAAAGCUAGUUAAAUAGAACAUUCUCAGUAAUGUAGCACACAUGGUCUGUUCCAGUGUGACUAGAGCUAUCAUUUGACACCGUUUCAAUAAACAAUGGAGCUUUUCUGCGAUUUUUAUGCUCCCCCAGACAAAUUUGACAAACAAAGCUAAAUUGAAUUUGAUACAAAAACGACCCAGUUUAGAGGGCUAAAAGCUAGUUAAAUAGGACAUUCUCAGUA
Molecule: long non-coding RNA, 494 nt
Filed under: Salmo salar (Atlantic salmon)
Lineage: Eukaryota; Metazoa; Chordata; Actinopteri; Salmoniformes; Salmonidae
Description: lncRNA (ENSSSAG00000086673.1)
Source: RNAcentral